CAGUAGCCGCGGGAAUACGUAGGUGGCAAGCGUUGUCCGGAAUUAUUGGGCGUAAAGGGCUCGCAGGCGGUUUCUUAAGUCUGAUGUGAAAGCCCCCGGCUCAACCGGGGAGGGUCAUUGGAAACUGGGAAACUUGAGUGCAGAAGAGGAGAGUGGAAUUCCACGUGUAGCGGUGAAAUGCGUAGGGAUGUGGAGGAACACCAGUGGCGAAGGCGACUCUCUGGUCUGUAACUGACGCUGAGGAGCGAAAGCGUGGGGAGCGAACAGGAUUAGAUACCCCUGUAGUCCCUGUCUCUUAUAC
This 301-nucleotide ribosomal RNA is filed under the name uncultured bacterium. RNAcentral describes it as "partial 16S ribosomal RNA". It matches the Rfam family "Bacterial small subunit ribosomal RNA", at positions 509 to 807 of the family's 1533-position model. The record is from RNAcentral.